CAUCCCAUAAUUUCCACCUAGCUAUUAUGAGGUCUCAGAGUCACAUCAUUGACAAUAAUCCUACUCGUUUUGUCUUGGUGCAGUGGCAUGGCCUUCUCCAAGAUGGCACUUCAUGGGAGAAGUGGGAUGAAUUGCGCUCUACUUGAGGACAAGGUCGAUUUUGAAGAGGAGAGUAAUGAUAGGGACCCAACAGUUGGGCCUAGUGUGCAAGGAAUGACCAAGAGAACUAUUACCAAGCCAGGAAAAUGGAAGAACUUAGUGACAACUGACAAGCGACACAAGCAUUCUAGAAGAUUGAUGAGUUUGUUAGGAAUUUGGCUGUAAG
Molecule: long non-coding RNA, 325 nt
Filed under: Medicago truncatula (barrel medic)
Lineage: Eukaryota; Viridiplantae; Streptophyta; Magnoliopsida; Fabales; Fabaceae
Description: long non-coding RNA (MTRU_LNC005205)
Source: RNAcentral